GAUGUUACUCUGAGUGCAUAUCCACACCGGGCGAGCUUGAAAAUAUGCCCGGCCACGGUGGGAUUCGAACCUACGACCUUUGGAAUACUAGCCCAAUGCUCUUCCAACUGAGCUACGCGGUCAGGACGGUUCGAGUAAGUGAUAUUUCGGAACAGUAUCUAGUUCCUUCAAUACCAAUGUGUUCUUGUAAUAUGAAUUUUUUUUUUUCUGUGUUGGUGUUGUGUACUCAGGUGAAUAAUAUGUUUGCGAUGUUACUCUGAGUGCAUAUCCACACCGGGCGAGCUUGAAAAAUAUGCCCGGCCACGGUGGGAUUCGAACCUACGACCUUUGGAAUACUAGCC
This 341-nucleotide transfer RNA is filed under the name Paramuricea clavata. The record is from RNAcentral. Lineage: Eukaryota; Metazoa; Cnidaria; Anthozoa; Malacalcyonacea; Plexauridae.